Cyprinus carpio carpio is the source of this 2481-nucleotide long non-coding RNA. NCBI's taxonomy places the organism in Eukaryota, Metazoa, Chordata, Actinopteri, Cypriniformes, Cyprinidae. The record is from Ensembl.
CUGAAUGUUUUUAUUAAUGCACUGAUUGGUUAAUAGCUGAGAGCAGACAAAGUGUCAAAGAACCACAGGAAAUGGUGAACAUAAAUGUAAAGAAAAAAAGUUGCUUGUCAGAUUUUCCUAACAAGUAACCAUAUCUUUUUUUUUAAAUUAGCUGAAAAAACCACAACCCGCAUCCAGGAUUUUUUUCACGCAACUUAAAAAAAAAAAGAAGCCCAGAGUUGCGUAUAAUAAGGGGACUUGGCAACAGUGAAGAUGAGACAUGAGAGCAGUGAAGCAGCUCAACAUCCGACACGACAGACUUUGGAGAAAACCUCAUACUUUCAUGUGCCUUGAUAUCAAACCCAUUACAGUCUUGGGUUCAUUAAAAUGCUGUCAGAGUUGUCUGUGAGUUCUCUUAUAAAACAGCGAUAUUUUUCAGUUUAAACUUAUAAAAUCCAAUUAACCCGUUGCUUCUUUAAGUACUAAUUAAAUCACUACCACUACUAUAAUUGUGGAAUUGACAUCACAUCCUCCUGAAGUUAAAAACAAAUAUAUCAUUAACUACAGAGGGUGCCUUCCAGCAUCUCAGUGGAAAGCUGUUUAGCUCGUGUACUUAUGAGAAUAUGAGGGCGUGUCUUCAUGUGACAGGAGCAGUUUUUGUGAAACAUGAGCACACGGAGCUCAUAUGACCUUUGAUCUUCACCGACGUGUGAAGAAUUAAGAGCUCAAUCACAGAAUUCAGUUUCAUAACUGCUUAAUGUUUGUAGCACGUACAUUUUCUCAGUUUACUGGCCAUUAGCAGGUGUGAGUUUUGUGUCUGUCUACAAGAUUCAAAGAGGAAACAGGAUUGUUUUGUUUUUUUCCUUUGUUGAGCUUCUCGACACACGGUCUGUUCCUGGCAUUCAUACUCCUUGACGUAACGCUUAACAAAAGACAUAAAUGCCUUAAAUCUCGCCAAGCCAGUUUGGUGUCCUCUUUUACAACAUUCUACUUUCACAUUGAUGCUAGGAAACAAGAUGUUCAGGAGUUCGGGACAUUCUCUAAUCUAUCCAAAAUAUCCAAGUUACUGACAAACCAGUGAUAAUAAGAGUGAAGGGAAAGCAUUCUGAAGGCCGACAGACAUCAGGAGCCUGAGCACGGCCGUGAUGAAGCUGGAUCUGAGCUGCAGUGUUUGGGUUCUGGCCGUUGGUUUGCUGCCGUUGGUCCGAAUCACUGCCGGAUCCAUUUUGGGCGCAGCUGUUAACAUUGAGCUGUUUGACCAGGACAGAUCGCAGCCGGUCAGGGCUCAUUACAGCGUGGUGUCCAAUUUGCCCUGUCCAGCUCUGAAUGAGCUGUGUAACGGAGGAGACUGCGUGGAUCAGCUCAGCUCCUCUCCUCUGACAGGGGCUUUACCGUCACCCGGCUGGUGUCUUCAUCAGUGGCAGAAGAACAUCCCUGAACACCACACAUCUGCUCUUCAGCUCAGAUCUGACAGAGCCGUGACACUGGAUUCACGAGCAGAUCUGUCUGUCAGAGCCGACACUAACCGUGUUAACCAGCCUCCAUUUGUGGCUCUUCCUCCUCCAGUCAGGUUACAAGCUGCUUGUCCUCAAGAAAUUCCGGUGAAUGUGAUGGAUUUGGAUGGAGAUGAGAUUCGCUGCCGUUAUAAGAAGACUGAACUUGGUGAAUUUCUGCAGCUUAAUGAAGAGACAUGUACACUGCUGUAUGAAGGUAGAGCUGGUUUGGGUCAGUAUUCAGUUCUGAUCAUGGUGGAGGAUUUUCCUUCAUCUGACAGAGAGGCCGAGCCGUUCUCCACUGUACCUCUGCAUCUCCUAAUAACAGUUGAAAGCGGAGCUGGCUGCUCAGUUGUGCCGGAGUUCACAGGCGUCAGUCCAGCAGGAGGCGCUGUAAUCCACGUACUGCCCUUUGAGGAGGUCCAUGUCAACAUUACAGUGGACUCAAGAGUACAGAGUUCACCCAGAUGCAGGGACGUGUCUGGAUGGGUGGCACCGGCCCCCCACAAAAUUAGCUUGGCCCCCCUUGAGCUCCCCAACAGCGCAGACUGAUCAGAGUAUAACAUCUGCGGUGCGGGAGCAAUUCGGGUGCAUUUGAAAUCUCACACGCUGAUGUCAUACACUGAUCGGCAGUGUAGCACACAUCUUCUCACUGUCUGGUUCACUGCCAUAUAUUUCCCGUACAACGCCACUGGAUUAGUGUGCUGUCAAUUUCACAGCUCAAACAGGAGAAGAGCGAUUUUGCUGGCUGCAGACCACAACUCUGUUCAUUGUCUGUUCAAGUAUUAGAUUAUAAAUUAUAAAUAUAGGCCUCAUAUAUAUGUAUAUAUGUGUUGUUCAGCCGCGAUGCACCAGCACCACUUAAAAUAGAAAUCAUUAUGCUACAUUUCUUCCUGUUGUUUCAAAGAUUAAAGGCACAAUCACUUUCCCAUAUAGUCUGCAGUACUGUGGUAAAUGCUAAAAUGUGGAGUUUUACAAAUGUUAGCAUUCACACACUUGGAAUUUUAAG